RNAcentral lists this small RNA (733 nucleotides) under Pan troglodytes (chimpanzee). RNAcentral describes it as "retained intron". Lineage: Eukaryota; Metazoa; Chordata; Mammalia; Primates; Hominidae. The record is from RNAcentral.
GUGUCUGGGACCUAUUCUCUGGGUGUUGGGUGGCCUCUGGGUUCUCUUUCCCAGAACAUCUCAGGGGGAGUGAAUCUGCCCAGUGACAUCCCAGGAAAGUUUUUUUGUUUGUGUUUUUUUUUGAGGGGCAGGGGGCGGGGGCUGCAGGUGGUCUCUGAUUUGGCCCGGCAGAUCUCUAUGGUUAUCUCUGGGCUGGGGCUGCAGGUCUCUGCCCAAGGAUGGGGUGUCUCUGGGAGGGGUUGUCCCGGCCAUCCGUGAUGGAUCAGGGCCUCAGGGGACUACCAACCACCCAUGACGAACCCCUUCUCAGUACCUGGUCAUGGAGUAUUACGUGGGCGGGGACCUGCUGACACUGCUGAGCAAGUUUGGGGAGCGGAUUCCGGCCGAGAUGGCGCGCUUCUACCUGGCGGAGAUUGUCAUGGCCAUAGACUCGGUGCACCGGCUUGGCUACGUGCACAGGGACAUCAAACCCGACAACAUCCUGCUGGACCGCUGUGGCCACAUCCGCCUGGCCGACUUCGGCUCUUGCCUCAAGCUGCGGGCAGAUGGAACGGUGCGGUCGCUGGUGGCUGUGGGCACCCCAGACUACCUGUCCCCCGAGAUCCUGCAGGCUGUGGGCGGUGGGCCUGGGACAGGCAGCUACGGGCCCGAGUGUGACUGGUGGGCGCUGGGUGUAUUCGCCUAUGAAAUGUUCUAUGGGCAGACGCCCUUCUACGCGGAUUCCACGGCGGAG